Long non-coding RNA from Vespa crabro (European hornet), 1100 nucleotides. RefSeq lists it as uncharacterized. NCBI's taxonomy places the organism in Eukaryota, Metazoa, Arthropoda, Insecta, Hymenoptera, Vespidae. The transcript is spliced from 2 exons. The record is from RefSeq and is a predicted model, not a curated record.
GGUCAUAUAAAGAAAGAUAACAAUUGUAAUAAUGUCUUAUUUUACAAAAGAAAAAUUCUAUGAAAAGUAAUGGAUUUAAUUUGAACUUAUAAAAUCUUCAGUUAUAUCACAAGAUUUACAUUCUUCAUGAUAUGCUUCGCUUCAAGAUCAUCGUCAAGCAAUAAUUGCAUUCCAUCGAAAAUCAAGAAAAUUGAUAAAAAGAGAUAGUACUUUGAGAGCUGAUGAAAGAAGAUGGGGAAGAAGAGGGAGAAGAAAAAAACGAAACAGAAAAGAAAAAGACAAAGAAAAAUAAAUUCACGUGCAGGUUAAGAGAAAUAAGAAAGAAUAAGUAAAAAAAAAAAAAAAAAAAAGAAAGGAAUGGAAAGAAAACAAAAUAAAAGUACCUCUAAAGUUCGCACGUAGAAUUUGUUUGGAGAAUGGUAUUCGGUGGUACGACAACGUUCUCAUCGUCGUUCGUGCUAGACGAACUCCUUGGCUGAAAUUAUUAUUACGAUUUCGAUUAAACGAAUUAAACGGUGAAAAAACAAAAAAAUUAAGAUCGAAAUCGCGAUGUGAUGGUAAAUAAAUCAGCUGUGAACGUUUAUCGACGCCAUCUUGGAGCUUCUCCCAUAUUUAAUUAACUUUUCUUUCCUAUUAUUAUUUUUAUAUAUUUAUCUAUAAAACAUUUAUGAAUGAUUUGUAUUAUAAACACAAUAAUAUCGCCACCAAAAGCACACCAAAGUCAAUAUUAUUUUUUCCAAUUGAAGCUGCUAAUAAUGAACCAAAACAUCUAAUACAGAUAUGAAUGAUAAGUGACUUUUGAAUCAUUUUAAUGAAAUUAAAUUUAAAAAAUUUGUCGUACAUACACACAGAUACACACAGAUACACACACACACACAAACACACUUUCAUUCUUUCUGAUACGCAUAAAUACGCGUAAAUCGUUAUUAAUUUUGAUUUUCAUUAUCAUAGCAAGCAUACAAGCAUACGAAACAUUGUGCGCAUGUAUGUAAGUGGGCUCACAUGUAUAUGUAUAUGUGUAACAUAAAUGUAUAUGGAGAAAACAAGCUGAAAAAUGAUCGAACGUCGGAUCAAUUUGACAAAUACAUGUAUCAACUUUU